GACUAUCUUUGGCGCGUCUGCUAAAUAGGUUAAUAACCCUCUGAUGCUGAGUGAGCUUCUCUUUCAUUAUGACCCGGGGCGGACUUACCAAAGACAGCACCAGGACAUUUCACGUUGACCUAAUGGUCAAUCUGGAGUGCCACCGUGAAUCUGGACCAAUCGCCCACCACCAAGCGUAAAAGGCAGUCCAUUGAGUCCUGAGUGUCUUCUGGAUGGACCUGAUUGGGGUCAGCAGAUCCUCCACUGUGAACAUCUGGAGGGCCCUGAUCCGCAUCAGCAGAUCCUCCACUGGGAACAUAUGGAGGAACCUGAUCCACACUGGCGGAUCCUCCACUAGGAACGUCUGGAGGGACCUGAUCCACACCAGCAGAUCCUCCACUAGGUACGUCAGGAGGGACCUGAUCCACACCAGCAGAUCCUCCACAAGGUACGUCAGGAGGGACCUGUUCCACACCAGCAGAUCCUCCACGAGGUACAUCUGGAGGGACCUGUUUCACACUGGCAGGUUCCACGUGGAGGACGCUUCCACAGAUGUGCCUGAGUUUUAAUUGAAGUGGGAGCUGGUUUGCCAGCUCCUCAAUAGUGCCUGCAUAGAAAUGUACAGGCACUAUGUACUCAUCCAUAUGGCUAUCCAGGAGGAUGAGCUUGUCGUGCAUCUCUGACACUCCAACGAUCUCAAGAACUGCCUCCUGGAUAUCCCUAUCAAUAAGCUGAAAAACAAAAAAAAAUUUAGAAAAGGUGACUGAGCUCAAUGAUGUCCCCGACAUAGAGCUCGUUAAGUGCUUCUUCCCGCCACAGUGAGACAUCGUGUACUACGGAGCCACAUUUCAUCCGCAGGUCCAGGAUCGGUAUGUGAGUGCGAGUCAUUCUAGGCACUUCAACCUGGAAAAUGACAAAAAGGUCGUGAAGGAGGACAGAGGGCCUCCCUUGCAGCUCUUUUAGCCUCCUCACUUAUGGCUAGCGGAGCCGUCCUAAAUUUGAUGGUGCCUUUAUUUACAAAUAAACAUCGGCGGCCAUAUUUGUUUGAGAUGGUUACAUUUUUUACAAUAUAUGAGUGUCCCUCUUCAAAUUCAGGGUCACUGCCGUUUUUUUAUGGACAGAUAAACUGCAUCACCAUCCGUAAGGGCACAUAAAGAUGUGACUUUGUAGGUGUCAACAAUUAUUUUGUUUUCAUGUUUAAUAAAUGUCACAGCCUUUUGGCUACUGUGCACUUUAACACAGGUGAUGUGCAGUGGUGGUGGGCGGCUGUACGGUGUUGCCAUCCUAAGAAUAAGAAAAAAAGGUUACUCUGUAUUAGUUGUAAAUAUUAUGUAGAAUAAAUUAUUAUUUCUUUUUAACUCAAUUCAUCAAUUAAACAUAUCAAUUAAUCUAAAUCUGUUUGUCUUGACUGGAAUGUUGUGCUACAUCCUCCUUCAAAAUAUCAUAUAUUGUGUUUUAUAGAAGAGAGAAACUCAAAGAUUUGUAAGCAUAUAAGGGGGGAGUAAAUUGUUGUUUUUUUUUUUUUUUUUUUUUUAAUUUUUAUUUUAUUAUAACACAAGAAGUUUGUAAAGGGUUCACUGUGAACAUCAGCCUGCUUUCAAGAUUUAAGAUAAGUCUUUUGUGUCUUCAGAAUGUGUCUAAAGUUUCAGCUCAAAAUACCUAUCAAAUUAUUUAUUAUACCUUCCUGGAUAUAUAUUAAAAGUCACAUGAACAUUAUUUGAAGUAAAAAGUUAAACACAAACACAGCUAAAUGAAAUAUUGAGUAUUAUUCAAUUAUACGACUAGUCUGUAACAGUUAGCAGAGUUUUUCACAGCAUUUUUAUUGAAGAAGUGGUAAUUUCUUAUUUAUUUCAGUCACAUUAACUUUUUAAAAUUAAAAUAAGAAUGAAGUAAAAAACUAAUUUAGAUAAAAUUGCCUCAAACACUAAAAACCCCAUUCCUGGCGUAUAAAUGAUCAUACUAUAAUUAUUAAACUUAACGUUACGCAUCCAGCUGUAUUCUGACAAGAUUUGACUGGACAGAAGUGUUAUCUGAGGUAUUUAAAAACAAAAAACAAAACCAUGUUAUUUUAUAAAGGCAUCUGUAGAAUUUAUAGUAUAAUAUCAUAAUUUAAUUAUACUGUAAUCAUAAUCAUAUAAAAGCUAAAUAAGAAUUAAAAAGCUCUCACCUCAGAAGUAUGCUGUCUGUUGUACAACUGAAAGAAUUGACAGUGAUGUGUAUCCAGUCAGAAGCGAGACAUCCAUCACCAAGGCUCAUGACGUCAGAUGGAAACCUUUAUCGAAUGAUGUUCAUGCAUUUUUGUUUAUUAUUUUUAUUCAUAUAAUAAAUGUUGAUUGACAAUGUGGCGCAUCCAAUCAGAAGCGAGACAUCCAUCACCAAGGUACAUGACGUCAGAUGGAUGUCCAUGUGGAUUGACAGUGAGGCGCAUCCAAUCAGAAGCGAGGCAUCCAUCACCAAGGGACAUGACGUCAGAUGGAAACCUUUUAUCAAAUGAUAUCCAUGUCUUUUUUAUUUUUUAUUUUAUUCGUGUAAUGUUAAUUGUUAUUUAAAAUUCAUUAUAUGUAGUACAUUGAAACAUUUCUGAGGUCAUAAUUCAUUAAAAUAUCACACUGAUGUAUUCUCUUAUUAAAUGAGUAAUGUUUUACGUUGGUCACUAGAGUGUUAAAAGACGAUU
Molecule: long non-coding RNA, 2653 nt
Organism: Danio rerio (zebrafish)
Lineage: Eukaryota; Metazoa; Chordata; Actinopteri; Cypriniformes; Danionidae
Source: Ensembl